GGGGUGAUAGCUCAGUUGGGAGAGCGUACGACUGAAGUUAAAACUUCGGUUCAAGGUUAUACAAUAAUCGUAAGGUCGCUGGUUCGAUCCCGGCUCGCCCCA
This is a transfer RNA of 102 nucleotides. It matches the Rfam family "tRNA". From Rfam's summary of the family: Transfer RNA (tRNA) molecules are approximately 80 nucleotides in length. Their secondary structure includes four short double-helical elements and three loops (D, anti-codon, and T loops). Further hydrogen bonds mediate the characteristic L-shaped molecular structure. tRNAs have two regions of fundamental functional importance: the anti-codon, which is responsible for specific mRNA codon recognition, and the 3' end, to which the tRNAs corresponding amino acid is attached (by aminoacyl-tRNA synthetases). tRNAs cope with the degeneracy of the genetic code in two manners: having more than one tRNA (with a specific anti-codon) for a particular amino acid; and 'wobble' base-pairing, i.e. permitting non-standard base-pairing at the 3rd anti-codon position. The record is from Rfam.